This 410-nucleotide ribosomal RNA is filed under the name Bifidobacterium animalis. RNAcentral describes it as "bacterial SSU rRNA". It matches the Rfam family "Bacterial small subunit ribosomal RNA", at positions 975 to 1384 of the family's 1533-position model. Lineage: Bacteria; Bacillati; Actinomycetota; Actinomycetes; Bifidobacteriales; Bifidobacteriaceae. The record is from RNAcentral.
CUGGGCUUGACAUGUGCCGGAUCGCCGUGGAGACACGGUUUCCCUUCGGGGCCGGUUCACAGGUGGUGCAUGGUCGUCGUCAGCUCGUGUCGUGAGAUGUUGGGUUAAGUCCCGCAACGAGCGCAACCCUCGCCGCAUGUUGCCAGCGGGUGAUGCCGGGAACUCAUGUGGGACCGCCGGGGUCAACUCGGAGGAAGGUGGGGAUGACGUCAGAUCAUCAUGCCCCUUACGUCCAGGGCUUCACGCAUGCUACAAUGGCCGGUACAACGCGGUGCGACACGGUGACGUGGGGCGGAUCGCUGAAAACCGGUCUCAGUUCGGAUCGCAGUCUGCAACUCGACUGCGUGAAGGCGGAGUCGCUAGUAAUCGCGGAUCAGCAACGCCGCGGUGAAUGCGUUCCCGGGCCUUGU